This is a long non-coding RNA of Lycium barbarum (goji berry), 5656 nucleotides long. RefSeq lists it as uncharacterized. The transcript is spliced from 2 exons. NCBI's taxonomy places the organism in Eukaryota, Viridiplantae, Streptophyta, Magnoliopsida, Solanales, Solanaceae. The record is from RefSeq and is a predicted model, not a curated record.
CAGCCCAAAACGGGCUGACCCGGCCCAUCCCUUCCUUUAAUACCCUUUCCCCCGCUUCAGUCAAAGAGGAAAAAACCAUACAGGCGCUCCAAAACGGACCCUGGGGGUCUCUAUGUAACAACAUAUACAUCCAGGUCAUUCUUCAAACGGUAACUGUACUUUUUUCUUUCCAAUUGGCAACGGAUUUUUUGGUUACCUUCUCUUGUAAGUUUGGGAUUUGAAUUUCAAUUUGACAACCCUCAAGAGCUCAAAUACUUAGAAGCUCGGCAAAAGCCUUGAAUUUUGAGGAAGUCCAAGCUCGUACUUUAAUUUUUGGAAGUCAUUUUUGUUCGUCGAAAAUCGAUUCGUCUGAAAGGUAGUUUGUCGUCUCUCGUCGCCCCCGUCGCUGCACCCUAAAAAGGAACCCUUGGUUGAAUAUGUACUCCUCCACUUGGGGGAGUUGGGUACUCAUUCUUCACCUCUUCCCUUUUUGCAUGACUUGGGGGAGUUGUUUCUCAAUCCUGAAUGAUCCUGAGCUAUGCCAUGUCUAUGAAUUUGCUUCAUCUGCUGCUGAACCAAAGAAGCUGCUGACAUGCUUGACCAGCUAUGUUAUUACUACUGUUUCACUUUAACUGUUCAUUUGUUGGGCUUAAAGCUCUAAGUUUGCUGUUGCAAUUGUUAUACCUAAUGGCUGUUGUCACAAUGAUGUUAUCGCUGUAUUUUGAGCUAAGUACCUCCACCUCAACUCUAUCCUGAAAUAUUAUGGUGGGUGAAUGCUGCUGCCCCUGAGGAGUCUCAAACCUUCUGCUGUAUUAAGUCUAAAAAGUGGCUACUGUAUAUUUGUUAGUUGAACCACUGUCACAUUUGAAAUGGUUGUUCCUACUUUGUGAUAAGCUGUUCAAAUGCUACUUCUUUAUGUGAAUGAACACUUGAUGUGGUUGGCUGCUCCAUUCUGAUGAUAUUUUGGGAUAAAUUGAUUGCUAUUGCUGUUACCUGUUGCUAUAGUAUUUAAGUUGCUGCACUUGAAAGAAAGCUGGCUGCUAUAUAUCACUUUAAGGGUAAAAACUUACAGUAUUUUGAGAUCAAUAUCUGCUGAAUUUUGGCCAUUUAUAGAUCAUUUUGAGGCUCAAAGCACUGCACUUUGUGUUGGUUGGUUACUAUGGCAUUUUGACUUAAAUUUUGGGAAGGUUGCUGGUUUGUUACUUUGAUGAACUGUUGCAUCUUUAGAGAUAUCAUUUUGGGGCUGGAAUUUAUUAUAUGCUGAUGCUACAUGUUAGCAACAACCAACAUUCUUGAAUUGGAUUUGAGGAAAACUUCCUGGAGCAAGCAGAUGCUCUCAAUUUGCCUUUGUUCUGCAAAAAAUGAACAGAUGAUACACUGUUUGAGAAGCUGUAGUUUUGAAGAAAUGCUUGGCUGUGUUUGAUAGAAAAUUGUAAAGUUGUUGUUUCCAAUGGCUAAAUUCGAUUCUGCUUAAGUGUUUCAGUUUAGUUACUAUUUUUCUUAAAGGUAUUUCCUCUUUUUUCUAAAGCCUGCUUCUGUCCUAAAAGAAUAACUUUCAAAACCUGCCUGCUGUAUGUAUCUGGGCUGAAUACUUUCUCUAAAGAUUCCCUGAUGGCCUUUCUCCUUGCCCUACAUUGUAUUACUUAUCUUCUAAUAUCAGCCUGAAACUUGAGGUUUCCCAUUAUUGAACCAUGAUAAGGAUAUAGCCCAAAAAAUUCUUAUUCAAAAAGGCAGAGUAACCUAAAAAUGGUUGUAGUUGGACAAGGUGAAUCAGAGUGUAACUCCAAGAAGGGCUGUUUGUUGUUUGAAGUUGUAGCUCUGGUAGUUCAUGUAUGUCAAAUAUUGGUUGAAUGUUAACUGUCCAAACCUCCUUGACUGGCCAGGGCAGUAAAAAUAAUAAUUGAGUUGCUUAAACAAAGUAUUUUACCUAAGACAUUUAAGAACUGGUUUUAAUGUUGUCAGAUAAGUCUAAAGGUUUUCUCUUUCUUUCUAAAAAAGGAUACUUGUUUUGUCUUCAAGAUGCUCAAGAUGCAGUUUAGUCAUGACUAUAUUUUGGUCCAGAAAUGGGUAAAAUCCUCUCUCUGAGGCAUGUUUCUUAGAAUUAGGAUUUUUGCUAGUUCAAGUCCUUGAAAAACUGUUUGUGUUUCCUUCUUGUUGCUCAAUAUGUGAUACCUACCUUCAGAUUAUGACAGCAGCCUGUGGUUUUGAAUAAUGAUUAGGGAUUGAAUACCAUAUAGUUGUUUCCCAUCUACGAUUCCUCUAUAUGGUCCGUGAGUGAAUGAUCUGGAUAUGUUGACCCAUGUUUGGUUUUCAAUCUUCUUCCACUUGGUCAUGUAUCUUUGAGGAGUCCUGUAAUGGUUCUGUUUUGUUUUUUUUUUUUUGUUUUUUUUUUUUUAAAGGUAUGGUUUGUGUAUGCUAGUGUUUCGGUGUCCUAGAGCCUCUUAAAUUAGUCUAUUAAGGACAACUAUAAUACUUCAUUGUAUUCUCUGGAUGUUGAAACUACUUCAAAGAAGGAAAAUACAUCUCCUAUUUCAGCAUAAUUAAAGGCUUUUCUUUGGCAGUUUCCUAGUUGAACCUUUCUCUUAUAUUGCUUGACUGAAGACCAAGGCAAGCUUGGGUUCGGUUUAGCCUCCUCCAAUAGUCCGCCAUGCAUAAAGGUUCUAGAAACCUUUUUGAUCUUGUGCGAUAUUGGAAUACGGAUGGCGGUAACCCCCUAUAUUGCCUGAAUCUUUCAGGCCUGACAUUCUAAGUUACAUUGAGUGUUAUGACCAGCUUUUGAGUUCAUCUUUCUUGAGAUGCUAUGUUUUCUUGUGUUUAUUGAAUCCCCUGUUUUGAUGCCUUGCAUGAUGUUUGUGAUCAGUCCUGGAGUUGCCCCCUUUUAGUUACAUAUAACUCCCACUUCUCUGGAAAAUGCAUCACAUUUGGCUGUUAAAUUCCAUCUUGUCCAUAAUUUCCUAGAUCCUAAUCCUUACUUUAGUCUGUAACCAGAUUUUGGUUUCUUAUAUUGUGAACUAUUUUGGCAGCCUAAUGCUUCUUGUCAUCUUAAUCCAUUGUAAAAUUUACAUCAAGAUAUGAUACCUUUAAAAAAUAAAGCAUCUUUGUUUGACAUUAUUUUGUUAAAUCCUCUUUGUUUUUCAAUACUCAUUCUUCACCCAUCCUUCUUUUGCAUGACCUGGGGAGUCUUCAAACCUCCUUGAAUUGCUAUCUAUCUUGGGCUGCUACUUGAUGAGAAUGGCCAUCGCCUGAUUUGUUGCUGGUUCUGAGGUCACUACUGCCAUGAUGUCCUAUGUAACAGCUUUACUGUGGUUGCCUUCUGUGAUUGUUUGUUGCUCCAAUAUGGUAUCGAUACUAAACUUGGAGUACUGUUGAGAUUUAAAAGAAACAGAUGCCAUAUAUCAGUUCCUAGUGCUGCACUUUGGGUUUGCUACACCUGUGGUUGAAACUGCUACUAUAUUUGGCAUAUGUUGCUGUCCUUUUGAGAAUGUCUGCUACACUUAAGUUUGAGCAGUGUUGCCAGUGCUGCUUAUUGAGGGGUUGCCCCUUUUGAACUGCUAUAUAUGAUUUGAUCUGCUCACCUUUCUGUUACUAUGGCCAUAUUGCUGCACUUCUUUGAAUCAACUUGUGGCUGCAUUCUGGCCAAAUGUUGUUGUACUUUGGAGCAUAUUUGAUGCUCAUUAGUGCUGCAUUUUUUUGAGCUCAACUGCUGCUGUUGUUUGGUAAAUAUGCUAUAUGUACUAUAUAGCUUGUUUGGAACAAAUGCUAUCAUCUCUGGUAUUUUGCUCAAAAAUGAAUCGGAAAAGGGCCAAAAUUACCCUUGAACUUUGAAAAAUAGUUCAUUCAUACCCUUCGUUAUACUUUAGGGCCAAUUAUACCCUUACAGUUAUACUAUGGGGUCAAUUAUACCUUUAUGUCUAACUGCUGCCACGUGGCAUCAUCCCAGCCCUUCAAAAUUAUUUUACCCUCAAAUAAUUUUUUACCCACUAAAAUAACUCAACCCGACCCGAAUUUUUUUUUCCAGCAAAAAUAAUACGGAUAAUUUUUCCAGCAAAAUAAAAUAAAAAUAAUUCCGUAUUAUUUUUGCUAGAAAAAAAAAAUUGGGUCGGGUUGAGUUAUUUUAGUGGGUAAAAAAUUAUUUGAGGGUAAAAUAAUUUUGAAGGGCUGGGAUGAUGCCACGUGGCAGCAGUUAGACAUAAGGGUAUAAUUGACCCCAUAGUAUAACUUAGGGGUGUUCAUGGUUCGGUUUGGGUCGGUUAUUGGUUAAAACCAUAACCAAACCAAUUUAGUCGGUUUUUAAAUGUCUAAAAUCAUAACCAAACCAAGUAAAAUAAUAACCACCGGUUUGGUUAUUGUCGGUUUGGUUCGGUUUUUCGGUUUAUGACUAGCCGUGACAAUUCAAAUAUUCUCUCUCUACAUUCUUCAAAUUUCUUAUGAAACUCUUUUUUCCUCAUAGCCCACAAGGGUGAACUUUGCUACAUAUUGAGGGAAAGAUACGCUGUUGACAAAUCAGGUGGACCAAACUUGCAACGCAGUUUAGAUUCAAAAGAACAAGUCAAACAGAGGUUUCAAAAUACAAACAACCCUUAUGCUUACGACUUAUUAGAGUUGGGCUUGGAUUGUUGGACAUAUUCUUUUAAGACAUGGGCCUUAAAAAUAAGUGGACCAAAAUUAAAUUAAUAAUUAAAAGGUAUAAAAUAUCUUUAAUUAUUUAUGAAAAGCUAAUAUUAUACAUAUAAAUAAUUAUAAAUUUUAUGUAUAUAAUUAUCGGUUUGGUUCGGUUAUUUAUUCGGUUAUUUUUUACUUUAACCAUAACCAAACCAAAUAUUAUCGGUUUUUCAAAUUUAAAACCAAACUAAACCAAAUGUCGGUUAUUUUAUUCGGUUUGGUUAAAUUUUCGGUUUGGUUUUGGUUUUAACCAAAACUGUGAACAGCCCUAACUGUAAGGGUAUAAUUGGCCCUAAAGUAUAACGAAGGGUAUGAAUGAACUAUUUUUCAAAGUUCAGGGGUAAUUUUGGCCCUUUUCCGAAAAUGAAUAGGUUGCUAUACCUGGUGAAAAAUUCCACUGAUUUGAACAAGACACUACACUUGAGCCAAUGAAAAAAUGAUUUUUGAGGCCAUGCCUAGUCCGGAAAGGUUAUCCCUCGGUUUAGGAAAGGAUGAUCUCGCAUUGAUAUCACGAGGUAGGAACCAACAUGCGCUUGGCAAGGCAACUAGAAUGGCCCCUAGUUUACAGCCACGACAUGAUUUGGGUUCCUUUGCCAUAUUCGGAACCGUGAGUCUGAGUCUCCAUAAUCAAAGCUCUCAAAGUUUAAUGCGAGUCCAAGGGAUAUUAUAAUUUAUGUUUCCCAAAACGUCACCCUAUGGGGUGGCGUGUCAUUUUGACUAACUAUUUUUCUUUUCAUUGUGCAAGGAACCAACAUAACAAGCACGGAAAGCAAAAGCUGGAGGACAAAAUAAAAGGAUCAGAUACUUGGAGCUUCGGAUGAAAGAUUAGAAGAAGAAAGAGAACAAGGCUGCUGAAUGAUUUGGGCCCAAGGCCGUAAAAGCUAAACUUUCUUUCUUUCCUUUAGUAUAAAUUUUACAUUAUUUUUUGUAUGAUAUGCAAAUACAUUUGUAUAGAUAUUGAAACCCCUACAGGUUAUAACUGUUGAGUUAUAAAAGAAACCGAUGCCAUAUAACA